UAUACAGCGAAACUGCGAAUGGCUCAUUAUAUAAGUUAUCGUUUAUUUGAUAGUGCCUUACUACUUGGAUAACCGUGGUAAUUCUAGAGCUAAUACAUGCUAAAAACCCCGACUUCGGAAGGGGUGUAUUUAUUAGAUACAAAACCAAUGCCCUUCGGGGCUCUUUUGUGAUUCAUGAUAACUAUACGAAUCGCACGGCCUUGCGCCGGCGAUGGUUCAUUCAAAUUUCUUCCCUAUCAACUUUCGAUGUUUGGGUAUUGGCCAAACAUGGUUGCAACGGGUAACGGAGGGUUAGGGCUCGACCCCGGAGAAGGAGCCUGAGAAACGGCUACUACAUCCAAGGAAGGCAGCAGGCGCGCAAAUUACCCAAUCCCGACUCGGGGAGGUAGUGACGAUAAAUACUGAUACAGGGCCCUUUCGGGCCUUGUAAUUGGAAUGAGUACAAUUUAAACCCCUUAACGAGGAACAAUUGGAGGGCAAGUCUGGUGCCAGCAGCCGCGGUAAUUCCAGCUCCAAUAGCGUAUAU
Molecule: ribosomal RNA, 526 nt
Filed under: uncultured eukaryote
Lineage: Eukaryota
Description: SSU rRNA
Rfam family: Eukaryotic small subunit ribosomal RNA
Source: RNAcentral